RNAcentral lists this ribosomal RNA (270 nucleotides) under Triticum aestivum (bread wheat). RNAcentral's name for it is "partial small subunit ribosomal RNA". The record is from RNAcentral. Lineage: Eukaryota; Viridiplantae; Streptophyta; Magnoliopsida; Poales; Poaceae.
AUGAGAGGAGAAUUCAAUGGCCUUCAGAAGUUAAUUCGAGAUGAGAACCCAUAUGCUUUCUAUAUCCAUUGCUUUGCCCACCAACUGCAAUUGGUAGUUGUUGCUGUUUCGAGAUGCUGCAAGGGUGUUGAGGAUUUUUUUGAAUAUGUGACCAUGAAUGCUAAUCUCAGUACUUCAUCUUGCAAAAGGAAGGAUAAAUUGCUUGACAAGCAAAAAGAGGUUCUUUUGGAUAAGAUUAAGAGUGGUGAGAUGCCGACGGGAAGAGGGUAA